This 410-nucleotide ribosomal RNA is filed under the name uncultured microorganism. Its description in RNAcentral is "bacterial SSU rRNA". It matches the Rfam family "Bacterial small subunit ribosomal RNA", at positions 509 to 917 of the family's 1533-position model. The record is from RNAcentral.
CAGCAGCCGCGGUAAUACGUAGGGUGCGAGCGUUAAUCGGAUUUACUGGGCGUAAAGCGUGCGCAGGCGGCCCGUUAAGACAGGUGUGAAAUCCCUGGGCUCAACCUAGGAAUUGCGCUUGUGACUGGCGGGCUCGAGUACGGUAGAGGGGGGUGGAAUUCCUGGUGUAGCAGUGAAAUGCGUAGAGAUCAGGAGGAACACCGAUGGCGAAGGCAGCCCCCUGGGCCUGUACUGACGCUCAUGCACGAAAGCGUGGGGAGCAAACAGGAUUAGAUACCCUGUUAGUCCACGCCCUAAACGAUGGGUACUAGCCGUUUGGUGCGCGAUAGCGCUGAGUGGCGAAGCUAACGCGUGAAGUACCCCGCCUGGGGAGUACGGCCGCAAGGUUGAAACUUAAAGGAAUUGGCGGG